GCCCAACUGUUCCUAACUACACUCCGUUUGCCCCCACCCUUCCAUUUAGAAUGGGUUUGGAAGCUCUGGUGGAGUCAUAUGCAUUCUGGAGGCCAUCACUACGAACUCUCACCUUUGAAGAUAUUCCUGGAAUCCCAAAGCAAGGCAACACAAGUUCUUCAGCUCUACUCCCAGGUACUGGGAAUGGCGUUCCUGCUGCGCACCCUCACCUGCUGUCUGGCUCCUCCUGUUCCUCUCCUGCCUUCCAUCUGGGGCCCAACACCAGCCAGCUGUGUAGUAUGGCUCCCGCUGACUAUUCUGCCUGCGCCCGGUCAGGCCUUGCUCUCAACCGAUACAGCACGUCCUUGGCAGAGACCUACAACAGGCUUACCAACCAGAGCAGCGAGACCUUUGCCCCACCCAGGACUCCCUCCUAUGUGAGUGUGAGCAGCCCCUCUGUGAACAUGUCCAUGGGCGGCACGGACGGGGACACCUUCAGCUGCCCGC
Molecule: long non-coding RNA, 486 nt
Filed under: Rattus norvegicus (Norway rat)
Lineage: Eukaryota; Metazoa; Chordata; Mammalia; Rodentia; Muridae
Description: long non-coding RNA NONRATT028851
Source: RNAcentral